Molecule: ribosomal RNA, 251 nt
Filed under: uncultured prokaryote
Description: partial 16S ribosomal RNA
Rfam family: Bacterial small subunit ribosomal RNA
Source: RNAcentral
ACAGAGGGCUCGAGCGUUGCGCGGAGUCACUGGGCUUAAAGCGUACGUAGGCGGGCGUGCAGGCAUCGUGUGAAAUCCCCCGACUCAACCGGGGAAUUGCAGGGGAAACCGCCGCUCUUGAGGCAGGUAGAGGUGACCGGAACGUGUGGUGGAGCGGUGAAAUGCGUAGAUAUCAGGAGGAACACCGGUGGCGAAGGCGACGCUCUGGUCCGCAACUGACGCUCAUGCACGAAAGCCAGGGGAGCGAACGG